UACAGUUGCAUCUUGCUCCGGCUGCCAAAGACAGGAGCAGUUAGGGCAGUUGGGGAUGGGUGCAAAGAUGCCCCAGGUUGCCACUGGCGACACCGUUAUGAAGUCACUCCAGGGUUCCGGCCGUGGCAACGAGCCCACCAAGAGCAACAAACGCCUCUGCGCAGUGCUCCUGCUCUUGCCAGGCUCUGCAAGGGGACACAGCUGACCAACAGACCGCUUUGCUGCUGCUGAGAUGGCAGACAGCCUGCAGAGCACAAGGAACAAGAGGCAUCUGGGAACUGAGGCUUUGUGAAAUCCGUCCAUUGGGUGAUGUUUGCCUGGAGGGCGGAAGACUUCUCAGCCCAGCCAAGGGCACAGAGAGCCAUCCCCCAGCCUGUGCCAGCCUUCCAGCUGCAAGAGUCUGCUCAUGGCACUGAUGGCACAGCUCCAACCUUGGGCACAGCGCAGGACGACAUCACUGAGCUGUGCAGAUGCUUCAUGCGGCUGAGCAUUGGAGCCAAGCAGAUGCACAUCAAUGAUGGCCACAAAACCACUGCUUGUACCAGCCAUAACCUGCAAAAACCAAAGGCAUCAGAACUGGUGAGCCAAGCCUUGAGGUCUGUUGGUCCCGUGCGUGUCCCAUUCCAACAUGGGAGUCCUGUGCUGCGCGCCGAUCAGUGCCAGCUCAGCCAGGAGCUGUGCGCGAUGCAGAGCGCACUGAUGGCCAUCAUGGAGCCACCAACUGCUACCAAGAAAGCAGCAGCAGAUGGGCCAGCAGAACGCAUCUGCCCACAUCCAUGUCCGGCUCAGCCCAGGAAGCGCAAGCACUGUGCUGGGAGAGAGCACCGCCAUGGCAGCCAGGAUGAGGAAUCUGCAGACGAACUGCAGCAGGCGUUUAGACACAAGGCGAAGAAGAGCUGCAAAGCCUUGCCCAUCUUCCCCGUGUCUUUGCCCCCGGAAGGCCUUCCAUCCUCCAGUGCACACAGCAACAAGCAGGCUCAGCCCAGCUGCGCUCCUGCCCCGGGUUUGGCUGCCAAACUGCAGAAGACUGCUGGAAGCUGCAAGACUGACGGGCCAAGCACAGACAAAGAGGGGAUCUUCCAACCUGCCUCUCUUCUGCAGAAAUGUGCUGAGAGUGAGAGACCAUCAGGGAAGCGACAGAAGAAAACCAAACACCUGGAAGUGCAGCAGAGCAGAAAGAGGUCGUUCCUGAGAAUGGACGACCCCUUUGAUGCUGCAGGUACCUGUGAUGUGGUCACCGUACCCAUGAAGGUCGUGAAGCUCUCAGAGCCCACCUUGCACUGCAGCUCCUCGCCGGCCAAACCCUACUUGCAGAAGCUGCCCAAGCAGCAGCACCCCCCCAGGCUGCUUGAGUGAUGCCACUGAAUCUGAGCUUUGAGAUGGGCCUCUGCUGCCACGAUGCACCAUCCAAUUGUGUCUCUCUCAGCAGACACAAUGCUGGCUCUCACUCUCAGAUGUGCUGAAGAGACUGAAAACAUCACACGUCUCUCCCAACAACUUCCCCUAUGUGGAAGCACUACCAUCACGGAGGCAGACAUUUACAACCUUCUCUCUGCCAACUGCUCUCUUGUCCUACGGACCUCAGGUGUUUAACACAGAAAGCACAGAGCUCCUGGACUAGACAGAGCUCACAGGUGAGCCCCAGGCUUUGCUGGGCUCCUCUCUUCGCUGCUGGCAUCCACACUAGGAGCUUCCCUUUAUCACCCACCCGUGACUCUUCAAUGCUUUUCAUUAUUGUUUUCAUGUCAUUUCUUUAUAGUGUUGUUUGUACUAGUCAGAGUUACUUCCUUAGGCAUACGUGUUCAAAUUACAUUGUUACUGAAUAGAAAAGGCACUGUUUGAUAUUAAAAUAGCUUUCCUUUUGAAAAGAAAUCAGAAUUGCACGUGGUUUGUUUAGGAGAUAGGAUUGAAGGAGGCACAUGGUUAUGUUGUUGUUGUUCUCAAUAAAAUUAAUUGAAAAU
Molecule: long non-coding RNA, 1961 nt
Organism: Gallus gallus (chicken)
Lineage: Eukaryota; Metazoa; Chordata; Aves; Galliformes; Phasianidae
Source: Ensembl